RNAcentral lists this ribosomal RNA (274 nucleotides) under uncultured bacterium. Its description in RNAcentral is "partial 16S ribosomal RNA". It matches the Rfam family "Bacterial small subunit ribosomal RNA", at positions 82 to 353 of the family's 1533-position model. The record is from RNAcentral.
CUGAAGAUGGCGACCGGCGCACGGGUGAGUAACACGUAUCCAACCUGCCGAUAACUCCGGAAUAGCCUUUCGAAAGAAAGAUUAAUACCGGAUGGCAUACGAAUAUCGCAUGAUAUUUUUUAUUUAAAGAAUUUCGGUUAUCGAUGGGGAUGCGUUCCAUUAGUUUGUUGGCGGGGUAACGGCCCACCAAGACUACGAUGGAUAGGGGUUCUGAGAGGAAGGUCCCCCACAUUGGAACUGAGACACGGUCCAAACUCCUACGGGAGGCAGCAUG